Molecule: long non-coding RNA, 3849 nt
Organism: Dromiciops gliroides (monito del monte)
Lineage: Eukaryota; Metazoa; Chordata; Mammalia; Microbiotheria; Microbiotheriidae
Exons: 2
Source: RefSeq, a predicted model, not a curated record
UGUUGUGAAAGAAAACAACUGAAAAAAGAAACCCUUAGAAAAAGAAAACAGACUGAAAAACAAGAAAAAAUAAAGUACAAAUUGAAGCAUAUUUUCCUCUAUAUUCUUUUUUUAUAAGAGGGAAUCAUGGCUACUGUGAUUAAUAUGAUUAGCAUAAAUUCAUAUGUAUCUCUGUUGCUUUAUUUGUUGACUUCUCCAUGAGUGGGGGAUAGGGCACAGGAAGGGAGACAGUUUGAAAAUGAAAAUAAAAAGGAGCAAAACUAAAGACCAGUUUCCCUAAUGAAUAUUCAUGUAAUUUUUAAAAAAUAAGAGCAAGGAAAUUAUAGCAAAAUAUUACAGACAUUACACCAUGUUCAGUCUGGAUUUAUAGCAAAAAUGGAGGGCUGAUUCGAUUGAGAAAACUAUAAGCAAAUUAACCACAUCAAUAACAAAGGCAACUAGAAUCACAUGAUUUCAUUAGAUACAGAAACACGUUUUGACAAACUAGAAGACCCAAUCUUGUUAAAAUCAGUGUAAAGCACAACAAUGAACAGAACUUUCCUUAAAAUGAUAUGUAGUAUCUAUCUAAAACCAAGAGCAGGAAAUAUUUGUAAUGGGGAUAAGCUAGACGUCUUUCCAAUAAGACCAGGGGUGAAGCAUCACUUCUCUGUCUGAUGUGGUAGCAUUUUUGUUAUGAGUCCUUUGGAAUUGUGGUGGAUCAUUGUAGUUUUCUUUCUUUGUUUUGACAGACUUGUGUUAUAGAAGGAAUUUGGAAGGCCUCCUUUACUUUUUUUCAAUCAUAAAAGUGAGGAGGUGGGAGAAAAUACACUAUACAUCAGGUAACUCCAACAAAGCAAAAGUUGUAAUUAUUAUCAGACAAAGCAAAACCCCAAACUCCCAAUAUAGAAAUGAUGGAAAUUAUAUUAUGUCGAAAAGAAUCAAAGAAAACAAAGCCAUCUUUUCAGUGCAUGAUUAUACAUUUCCUUUAAACACUGCUUUGGCUCCACAGCACAAGGCUAAUGAUUCGUGUGUUUAUUUUCUAUCUUGAAGCUUUUCAGAAGUUGUUCAUAAUGUUAAUUAUUAUUUGUCGUCUGUUCUCAAAGAGGACCAAAUGAUGCCAGGAGGGUAACAUCUUGACUUGCAAGUGAAUUGGAUUGAAGUGAGGCAGAGCUGUGCAAAGUCAUCAGCCCCACUCUCUCCUCCAGAGUCAUCAAGAGUCCAGUGAGAAGACAUAGGCCAGAAUGAUUGGUAAUGACCCAGGAUGCAGUGUGAAACCCUGGAAUUUGUAAGCUGAGGUCUUUCCCAGGUCGCAGUUUGUCUAAAACAAUACCAUUUCUAUGGUUAAAGGAUAGGUAAGCACUGAGGUCAAAGAAGGCCUCCUUUGCCUUCACCUCUUCACCCAAGAGAACCAGAGCUAAUAGAUCUGCAGGAACUUCCUCACCCUCCAACUAAGCGACAGAUUUGUUAUUUUGGGGGCCUCAUUGGCUACUGCAGCUGCUUUGCAGGAUGAGGGAUCUCUCUGCUCCCCAAACCUAGGAAAUGAGAUAGAAAACCCAGAUUGUUCCUGGUACAGUGAUGGCUCCUGCCUCCAAAUGACUCUGGUAAAUUAACGUCUGGGCAUAUGAUCACCACCACUGAGGAGGUCAUUGAAUCAGGAGCGCUUCCUUUGGCCUCUUCAGCUCAACAAGCUGAACUGGAAGCUCUGACACCAUCUUGUGAAUUACCAAAAGGGAAAUGAGUGGACAUUUACACGGAGAGCAGGUAUGCUUUUGGGGUGGCACGUGAUUUCAGGAUGUUAUGGAGAUAUCAAGGGUUAAUGACUUCUUCUGUCACUCCCAUUAAAAAUCCCUCUUGUUGGGGCAGCUAGGUGGUGCAGUGGAUAAAGCACUGGCCCUGGAGUCGGGUGUACCUGAGUUCAAAUCUGGCUUCAGUCACUUAACACUUACUAGCUGUGUGACCCUGGGCAAGUCGCUUAACCCCAAUUGCCUCACUAAAACAAAACAAAACAAAACAAAACAAAAAUCCCUCUUGUUACCAGCAGCAGUGGCUGUUUUGAAAGUUGCAGGACCCUCCCAUGAAGACUCUCCCUAUGCCUGGGGUAAUGCCCUUGCUGACCUGUAUGCCAAGGAAGCAGCUCAGAAGCCCCCAAUCCCUAUAGGACUGUCUUCCUUUACAUCUGUUGGGCCCGCCCUCAAAUGAACACUGACUCCAGCAGAGCUUACUGCUGUCUAAGAAGCCAUGUCUUGUUCCAUCCAAGACAGACAAAGAUGAGAAGCAUGCAAAAAAGGAGAAAAACCCUGGGCUCUGGUAUGGAUGCCUAGUCCUUCCUGAUGCUUGCUGUGUGUUCUUGGGAUGGAAUACCUGCACUCUUUAAGUCACUGGAGCCCUGAGGAGCUGCUUGGUUUGAGCUGCAAAUAUUGUUGGGGGAAAAUGAGGCCAGCUGCAUUUGACAUUUAUUUACAAUGUGAAAUCUGUCCCAAAUGUGAUGUUAGCAAGCCCCUAAGACCUCUGUCAGGGAAAUUCCCUCCCCUUGAGGCAUGCUUUCAAGUCUGGCAGACUGAUUUUAUUUAGUUCCUCCCCUGCUCUGGUUAUAAGUAUGUAUUACUCAUGUUCUGCCUGUUUUCCCUGGUGGGUGGAGGCUUUUUCUUGCAAGGAAGCCACUGCAACAGACCUAGCCAAGCACCCCCAACCCUCUAGUCUGGCAUAAUGUAUCAAUAGAAUUAAGAUUCAGCUUGCACAUUUAUGGAUGAUUGGGGUCUGCCAUGGCCAAAUUCCUUAGUUCUUCUGACAUCUUAGGGUAAUCCCUUUUGACAAAUACUCUCUUUCACCCUUUGAAAUCAUUCUCGGGCAUCUUAUGACCCUCCCUCUUCCCCCCAACCCCAGUGACUCCCUCACCACCAAGGUUUCCCUUCUGCCCUACUGCUGGGAUUCAAUCAAAAAUGUUUUCAUACCUUAACUCUCUUGUUUCUCAGUCAUUUUCUAGAGACUCAAGCCUGAAUCAGUCUACCUUGCAGUCAGAACCCAAAGAAAAGGCCCUACCAAGUCCUGCUGACCAACCCCUCUGCUGCAAAACUGAAGGGAAUUGACAGCUGGGUGCACCUAUGACAUCUGAAGAGGGCUCCAUUCCCCCAAUGGAGAGCCCAGCCCACUACCAGUGAUACCAAACUCCAUCUGACCCGGAAAAGGAAGCAGACAACAGCAGGGGUAGACCCCUUUCCCAAGACACUGGAUAUGGCCUGAGAACCCUACGUUCCUUGCUUCAGCUUACAUUAAUUUAGAACUUUUGCAACCUAUGUUCCUGUACCAGCUACUGAAUGUGCCCUACUUGUUAGUCUUUCUCUAUCAUCUAUUCCCAAAUGGCUAAUUAUUUUUCAAAAUUAGUAAAUAGGUAAAAAAUCAACCCCCUUUUUGAAUCAAGUCAACUUUAGCGAGAUAACUCUUGUUCCAGCAAAACAUUAGACCCUUGUCACAUCUUUUUAGUCAUCAGCAGAAUUCCAGACUUCCUCUUGGCCAAGAGAAUGAAACGACAACCAGAAUUGACCAAUAAUUGACUGAUCCUGCCCUGGUCUCUAUUCCCAAGCCAGUGAAUUGCCUGUGGCUGACCCAGUAUUGCCAUUCUGGCUUCUCAUUAUUUUGUAAACCUCAAACUCUCCCCUCCCAAACUCUCUCACUCUCUCAGCUUUUGUUAUGUAAAAAAACAUACCUGGCGAAACCUUGAGAUACUUAUCCCUUCUAAAGGCAGUCUCUUCACUCUCAAUCUUAGUAAAAACUCUGUUCCCAUCUCACUCUUUGGGUACUCCUAGCACUUGCUAUGGUAGUACCAUCAGGUGUAACUCUUCUGCCACAAUUAAAGACCUUCAUUUUGUCAUA